GCUCGCGUUCGUCCCCGAUCGCCUCGCCUGCCCGCGCCGCUAUUGUCCUCGGAGGGGAUAAGGUCGCUGACGCCGCGCACCCUCAAUCCCCUCUCCCACUUGCCCCCUCUCUCCCCACUCCUCCUCUGUCCCUCUCCCCAGAUCCCUUUCUCUUCCCCACCGAACACGUUCGCCGUCGGCCACCUCGCCCCGCCGUGGCCACCGUCCUUCCUGCAUCAAGCCGAUGUGACCACGAGCUCCGCCUCGUCCUCUGCUCCUUCUCCGUCGAACCACGAGACCCGGAGCGCUCCACAACGCCGGCGCCGGCAUCGUCUUCCACCUCCGGAUGCGCCGGAGCUCGCCGUCGAUCCGCGCCGCCCCGAGCACCUCGAGCCGUCCCCGGACCUUCUCUGCAACGGCCGUGAGCCUCCUUCCCUGCUCUCCCCUCUCUUGUCUGUCGCCGUAGCCACCGCUUCCGCGCUCGCCGUCACCGCGACCGAACUCUGCUCCCGCUGCUUGUUCUGCUGCUACAAGCCCCGCCUUGCGCCGCUCGCCUUGGCUGCCUCAAUGCGUCGUCGGCGCCUGACCGCUUCUGCCCGUGGCCUCGCCUUGCUCCCCGUCCCAUGCGCUGGGCGCUUGCCGCUGGCGCUCCUCUGCGAGCGGCCGUGCCCGGGCUCGACCUCUGACCGGGCAGCCCCAUGCCCGGGCGCCUCGCCACACCCCCGCCGCCGCGCCUGCUCAGGUCGGCCCUGGCCGCUGGCCGCGCCCUCUUGCCGCGCCGCGCCGGCGCCCCCGCUGGCCUCGUCGAGGCCACGGCCUCGCCCGGGCGUAACGCCCGCACCCGCUAUGGCCCUGGGCCACUGUCCUAUGGGCCCCACGCCCUUGUAGUUAAAAAUGAUAAUAAUAAAUAAUAUUAAUAAUAAACUAAUUAAUUAUUUGAUUAAUUAGUUAAUUAACUUAAUUAAAAUGGUUUAGUUAAACUAACUAACAAGUUAGCCUAAUUAAUCAAGUAAUUAGUUAGGUAAGUCAAUGACAUGGGGGCCAUCCCUGUUGACCAGUCAAACGUUAACUGGUCAACUGGGACCCCCUGGCCCACCUCUCAGCCACAGGGUACACUUUUGUGUACACUGUGCUGGGCGCGCCUAGCAUUUUAGCAUUUAUUUUCGAUUUAAAUUAAAUUGCAGAAUAUGUUUAAAACUAUGAAAAAUUAAUAGAAAUUAAACCGUAGCUCGGAUCGAAAAACUUUGUACAUGAAAGUUGCUCAGAACAACGAGACGAAUCUGAACACGCAGUCCGUUCCUCUGUCACAUGCACCUAUCACAGUAAACAUGCAACCUUUCCCUUCUGUUUCAUCUGUCCGAAAAUGCCUAACUCUGGGAAAACUUCCCGGAUGUUAUCACCCUUCGCCGGUAUUGUGUAGCACCGCGUUAGAAUACUUCUAGCUCUAUCUGUUGUCAUGUUAUGCACUUGCCUGCUAUGUAUUUACUGUUUCUCCCCCCUCUUCUCUCCGGUAGACCCCGAGACCGAUGCUGAUGUCCCUGUGAUCGACUACGUCGACGACGACCCUCCUUCUUGUGUGAGCAACCAGGCAAGCCCCCCCCCCCUUGAUCAUCCUGAUAUCGCCCAUUCUAUACUCUCAUGCUUGCAUUAGAUUUUUUGCUACUGUUAUUGUUUGCUCCUAUUCUGAUGCAAAGCCUGCUUUUGUACCUGCUUAUUGUUACCUAUCUGUUUAUCCUAAACUGCUUAGUAUAGGUUGGCUAGUGAUCCAUCAGUGACCCCCACUUGUCCUUGUUGCCCCUGCUUCAUCAUCGACGCCUCGAUCGACAUGAUCGACGACCAGAGCCCGACACCUCACAUCACAUCACGCCCCUUUUGUUGCUCGACUCUUCAGAGCUACUAUCGAGUGUCGAGGGUGAUCCCUCAUAACGCACUCUUGAUGAUAAUUCUGUAGUGUAGCUAUUCGGUCGUGGUCACCGAGGGUGAUUUCCUCUUUCACCAUUUCCGAUACGGCUCUGUCGUUCAACACCUCAAGUGUGAACCUCGAGGGUGGUCCCUCUUACGUUCACCUUGAUGAUUACAUCGAGUGGAAUCCUCCGUGGGUGAUUCCUUGGGCUUUCCCCUUGAUGUUUGGACACACAGUUAAAAUGACUUUACUUGAGACCUUGGUGAAAGUCGGGCGGGCCCAGAGAGCACCCGCAAGAUAAUAACGUGGCACAGCCGGGCAUUCUUGGGCCUUGUCGUAAGUCCACGAGACGGGGCGACGGGGUCACUUUCGAUCGUGAGUCUCUGCUGGUCUCCGCAAGCUAAUAAUACACUAUUGUUUGGGUAUUUGUUCUGAGUUGGCCUUUGGCCUUUACGCACCAACCACCAUGUGAGAAUAGUUAUGGGCCUCGACGGCGUAGUGUCAGCCGAAGCUUUGUCAGACGUCCAGUUCAGCAGUGCGGCACGGCUUGGCCGGCACCAUCCUGUAGUGGUGGAGCCUGGACCCGCCCUGCGUGCAAUGAUCCGGAGUGCAACGGGCGAUGGGCCCAGACCCCGAAGUGCUUAGGAUGUAGACCGGCGGGGACCUCUCUGCUGAGCCUAGGUAGGGCUACGACGUGUUGAUCUUCCGAGGCCGGGCAUUGACCCAGAAAAAUGUGUCCGGCCAGAGUAAUCAAGCGUGUUGGAAAACAUGGUGCACCCCUGCAGGGAAGAUUAUCUAUUAAUAGCCGUGUCCACUGUAACGGACGUUCAGACUUAUAUCCCGAUCUUAUACAACUACAAAUGGAUACUUGAGAUAUGUGGCUCCGGGAUUGCUUCCUCGCAGGGAGUCGAGGAAGGAUCUCUGGGCAUUAAUGUUACAACAUGCUUGUUAAUUAUAAACUGCUAUUCUUUACUCUUCUACAUGCUGCAAGAUGCUGAGAGCUGCGUGAAGAUGCUAGUCUUCGAUAGGCUAGGCUUUCCCCUCUAUUCUGGCACUCUGCAGUUCAGUCCACAGAUACAACCCUUCCAUUUGAUACCAAUGCAUACUUAGUAUAGAUCUGAUGCUUGCGAGUACUUUGGAUGAGUACUCAUGGUUGCUUUGCUCCCCUUUUCCCCCCUUCUUCCUUCUUUUUGGUUGUUGCAACCAGAUGGUGGAUCCCAGGUGCCAGAUGAUGCCACCCCCGCAGACUACUACUACUACCCAAAGGGUGCCUUCUACUACGUGGAGCCCGCCGACGACCAGGAGUAGUUUGGAGGUCCCAGGCAGGAGGCCUUGCCUCUUCGAUCGUGUUGCUUUUGUGCUAGCCUUCUUAAGGCAUCCUUGUUUAACUUAUGUCUGUACUCAGAUAUUGUUGCUUCCGCUGACUGUUGUGUAUUGAGCUUGUAUUCGAGCCCUUGAGGCCCCUGGCUUGUAAUAUAAAGCUUGUAUUAUUUUAUUUGUGUCUAGAGUUGUGUUGUGAUAUCUUCCCGUGAGUCCCUGAUCUUGAUCGUACACAUUUGCGUGUAUGAUUAGUGUACGAUUGAAUCGGGGCGUCACAAUUUGGUCACUGGAAAGGUUUCGGAAUGUACCGGGUAUUCAUCAGAUCACCGAAAGGGGUUCUUGGAGGACCCGGGAGGUUAUUGGGCCAUAUGGGCCGAAGGAGGGGAGACACCAGCCC
This 3599-nucleotide long non-coding RNA is filed under the name Triticum aestivum (bread wheat). RNAcentral's name for it is "long non-coding RNA (TAES_LNC002991)". Lineage: Eukaryota; Viridiplantae; Streptophyta; Magnoliopsida; Poales; Poaceae. The record is from RNAcentral.